This 372-nucleotide ribosomal RNA is filed under the name uncultured organism. RNAcentral describes it as "bacterial SSU rRNA". It matches the Rfam family "Bacterial small subunit ribosomal RNA", at positions 526 to 896 of the family's 1533-position model. The record is from RNAcentral.
CAGAGGGUGCAAGCGUUGUUCGGAAUUAUUGGGCGUAAAGCGCGUGUAGGCGGCAUUGCAAGUCGGGUGUGAAAGCCCUCAGCUCAACUGAGGAAGUGCGCCCGAAACUGCAGUGCUUGAGAACCGGAGAGGAUGGCGGAAUACCCCAAGUAGAGGUGAAAUUCGUAGAUAUGGGGUGGAACACCGGUGGCGAAGGCGGCCAUCUGGACGGAUUCUGACGCUGAGACGCGAAAGCGUGGGUAGCAAACAGGAUUAGAUACCCUGGUAGUCCACGCUGUAAACGAUGAGAACUAGGUGUCGUGGGAGUUGACCCCUGCGGUGCCGUAGCUAACGCAUUAAGUUCUCCGCCUGGGAAGUACGGUCGCAAGACUA